GGGAAACAAGUGAUCUAGCUGAGGAUAGCUAGUGUCGGAGUUUCCGACGUUUUGUAUUCGGAUUGAAUACAAAGGAUAGUGGAUUGAAAUUCCCAAGUAGGAUCUUGGGGAGUGGAUGUAGGUGCAAGGUUAGCACCGAACCACUAUAAAUCCUUGUGUUUGUGGUGUGCUUUAUCGCUUCACUUUAUUUCUUUAUUAUAUUCUUGCAUUCCUGCUUUAAGUAAUUAACAUUGAA
This 235-nucleotide long non-coding RNA is filed under the name Elaeis guineensis (African oil palm). RNAcentral's name for it is "long non-coding RNA (EGUI_LNC073538)". Lineage: Eukaryota; Viridiplantae; Streptophyta; Magnoliopsida; Arecales; Arecaceae. The record is from RNAcentral.